Molecule: ribosomal RNA, 1484 nt
Filed under: uncultured bacterium
Lineage: Bacteria
Description: partial 16S ribosomal RNA
Rfam family: Bacterial small subunit ribosomal RNA
Source: RNAcentral
GUUUGAUCCUGUGCUCAGGAUGAACGCUAGCGGCAGGCCUAAUACAUGCACGUCGAGGGGGAUUGGGGAGCUUGCUCCCCAUGAGACCGGCGCACGGGUGCGUAACGCGUAUGCAACCUACCUCUGUCAGGGGGAUAGCCCCCGGAAACGGGGAUUAACACCGCAUAACACCGCAGCACAGCAUUGUGCAGCGGUCAAAUAUUCAUAGGACAGAGAUGGGCAUGCGUGCCAUUAGCUUGUUGGUAGGGUAACGGCCUACCAAGGCGACGAUGGCUAGGGGUUCUGAGAGGAUGGUCCCCCACACUGGAACUGAGACACGGUCCAGACUCCUACGGGAGGCAGCAGUGAGGAAUAUUGGUCAAUGGACGGAAGUCUGAACCAGCCAUGCCGCGUGCAGGAAUAAGGUCCUAUGGAUUGUAAACUGCUUUUAUUUGGGAAUAAACCUCCUUACGUGUAGGGAGCUGAAGGUACCAAAGGAAUAAGCACCGGCUAACUCCGUGCCAGCAGCCGCGGUAAUACGGAGGGUGCAAGCGUUAUCCGGAAUCAUUGGGUUUAAAGGGUCCGCAGGCGGGCUGAUAAGUCAGAGGUGAAAUCCCACAGCUUAACUGUGGAACUGCCUUUGAAACUGUUAGUCUUGAAUUAAGAUGGCGUUGGCGGAAUAGGUCAUGUAGCGGUGAAAUGCAUAGAUAUGUCUUAGAACUCCGAUUGCGAAGGGCAGCUCACUAAGCUGGUAUUGACGCUGAUGCACGAAAGCGUGAGGAUCGAACAGGAUUAGAUACCCUGGUAGUCCACGCCCUAAACGAUGAUAACUCGAUGUUGGCGAUAGACAGCCAGCGUCCAAGCGAAAGCGUUAAGUUAUCCACCUGGGGAGUACGCCCGCAAGGGUGAAACUCAAAGGAAUUGACGGGGGCCCGCACAAGCGGCGGAGCAUGCGGAUUAAUUCGAUGCAACGCGAAGAACCUUACCAAGGCUUGACAUGAACUGGAAACACCUGGAAACAGGUGCCCCGCUUGCGGUCGGUUUACAGGUGGUGCAUGGUUGUCGUCAGCUCGUGUCGUGAGAUGUUGGGUUAAGUCCCGCAACGAGCGCAACCCUCGUUCUAUGUUGCCAGCACGUUAUGGUGGGGACUCAUAGGAGACUGCCGGGGUCAACUCGGAGGAAGGUGAGGACGACGUCAAAUCAUCAUGCCCCUUACGCCUAGGGCGACACACGUGCUACAAUGGCAUGAACAGAGUGCAGCGAGCUAGCAAUAGUAAGCGAAUCACAAAAAUCAUGUCACAGUUCGGAUUGGGGUCUGCAACUCGACCCUAUGAAGCUGGAAUCGCUAGUAAUCGCAUAUCAGCCAUGAUGCGGUGAAUACGUUCCCGGACCUUGUACACACCGCCCGUCAAGCCAUGGGAGUUGGGUAGACCUGAAGCGGAAGGUUAAAGACUUCGUUAGGGUAGAACCAGCGACUGGGGCUAAGUCGUAACAAGGUAACCGUA